ACCGGCGAACGGGUGCGUAACGCGUAUAGAAUCUGCCUCUUACUAAGGGAUAGCCCAGAGAAAUUUGGAUUAAUAUCUUAUAGUAUGUUGACUUGGCAUCAAGACAACAUUAAAGGUUACGGUAAGAGAUGACUAUGCGUCCUAUUAGCUAGAUGGUGUGGUAACGGCACACCAUGGCGACGAUAGGUAGGGGCCCUGAGAGGGGGAUCCCCCACACUGGUACUGAGACACGGACCAGACUCCUACGGGAGGCAGCAGUGAGGAAUAUUGGACAAUGGAGGCAACUCUGAUCCAGCCAUGCCGCGUGCAGGAAGACUGCCCUAUGGGUUGUAAACUGCUUUUAUACAGGAAGAAACACUGCUACGUGUAGCAGCUUGACGGUACUGUAAGAAUAAGGAUCGGCUAACUCCGUGCCAGCAGCCGCGGUAAUACGGAGGAUCCAAGCGUUAUCCGGAAUCAUUGGGUUUAAAGGGUCCGUAGGUGGAUAAUUAAGUCAGAGGUGAAAUCCUGCAGCUCAACUGUAGAAUUGCCUUUGAUACUGGUUAUCUUGAGUUAUUAUGAAGUAGUUAGAAUAUGUAGUGUAGCGGUGAAAUGCAUAGAUAUUACAUAGAAUACCAAUUGCGAAGGCAGAUUACUAAUAAUAUACUGACACUGAUGGACGAAAGCGUGGGGAGCGAACAGGAUUAGAUACCCUGGUAGUCCACGCCGUAAACGAUGGUCACUAGCUGUUCGGACUUCGGUUUGA
RNAcentral lists this ribosomal RNA (745 nucleotides) under bacterium W13M3a. RNAcentral describes it as "bacterial SSU rRNA". It matches the Rfam family "Bacterial small subunit ribosomal RNA", at positions 94 to 842 of the family's 1533-position model. The record is from RNAcentral.